GAUGAACGCUGGCGGCGUGCCUAACACAUGCAAGUCGAACGGAAAGACGAGGCUCUUGCUGGUUUCACGUUUGCGGCGGGCGUGUGAGUCACACGUGGAUCCCCUCCUUAUCUGUCUGGUAUAACUUCGGGAAUCCGGAUCUAAUACCGGAUAAUAUAUUGAACCGUGUUGUUCAUUGGAGAAUGUCGGCUUUUCUGUCUCUUAUCGAUGCUUCCCCGCCGUAUUAGAUAGUUGUUACGUUAACGGCUUUCCAAGGCGACGCUGCGUAGGCGAGGUGAGAGGAGGAUCGGCAACACUGGAACUGGGACACGGACAAGACUCCUAAGGGAGGCAGCAGUAGGGAAUGUGAGGCAAUGGGCGAAAGCAUGACGGAGCAAGGCCGCGUGAGUGAUGAAGGUCUUCGGAUCGUAAAGCUCUGUUAUGGGGGAAGAACAGAUGUGGAAGUAAAUAAGCACGUAGUGACGGUACCGAAUCAAAAAGCACCGGCUAACUACGUG
This 497-nucleotide ribosomal RNA is filed under the name uncultured bacterium. Its description in RNAcentral is "partial 16S ribosomal RNA". It matches the Rfam family "Bacterial small subunit ribosomal RNA", at positions 28 to 507 of the family's 1533-position model. The record is from RNAcentral.